RNAcentral lists this small nucleolar RNA (131 nucleotides) under Monopterus albus (swamp eel). RNAcentral's name for it is "Small nucleolar RNA ACA64 (ENSMALG00000008784.1)". It matches the Rfam family "Small nucleolar RNA ACA64". The record is from RNAcentral. Lineage: Eukaryota; Metazoa; Chordata; Actinopteri; Synbranchiformes; Synbranchidae.
ACAGACUGAAAAUGAGCCCAGGUGUAUCAGUGAUCUGGGGUCAGAUAACUGUGCCUAUAGUGGUCUGGUGCAUAAAGCUUACUGCGUGUGUCUCUUGGUGGCUGCGUGAUAAAACCCAUGUACCAACAUGA